This 465-nucleotide ribosomal RNA is filed under the name Vreelandella stevensii. RNAcentral's name for it is "partial 16S ribosomal RNA". It matches the Rfam family "Bacterial small subunit ribosomal RNA", at positions 338 to 795 of the family's 1533-position model. The record is from RNAcentral. Lineage: Bacteria; Pseudomonadati; Pseudomonadota; Gammaproteobacteria; Oceanospirillales; Halomonadaceae.
CCUACGGGGGGCAGCAGUGGGGAAUAUUGGACAAUGGGGGGAACCCUGAUCCAGCCAUGCCGCGUGUGUGAAGAAGGCCCUCGGGUUGUAAAGCACUUUCAGUGAGGAAGAACGCCUGGUGGUUAAUACCCAUCAGGAAAGACAUCACUCACAGAAGAAGCACCGGCUAACUCCGUGCCAGCAGCCGCGGUAAUACGGAGGGUGCGAGCGUUAAUCGGAAUUACUGGGCGUAAAGCGCGCGUAGGUGGCUUGAUAAGCCGGUUGUGAAAGCCCCGGGCUCAACCUGGGAACGGCAUCCGGAACUGUCAAGCUAGAGUGCAGGAGAGGAAGGUAGAAUUCCCGGUGUAGCGGUGAAAUGCGUAGAGAUCGGGAGGAAUACCAGUGGCGAAGGCGGCCUUCUGGACUGACACUGACACUGAGGUGCGAAAGCGUGGGUAGCAAACAGGAUUAGAUACCCUUGCAGUC